This 468-nucleotide ribosomal RNA is filed under the name uncultured bacterium. RNAcentral's name for it is "partial 16S ribosomal RNA". It matches the Rfam family "Bacterial small subunit ribosomal RNA", at positions 28 to 507 of the family's 1533-position model. The record is from RNAcentral.
GACGAACGCUGGCGGCGUGCUUAACACAUGCAAGUCGAACGGAAAGGCCCUGCUUUUGUGGGGUGCUCGAUUGGCGAACGGGUGAGUAACACGUGAGGAACCUGCCCUUGACUUUGGGAUAACUUCUGGAAACUGGGGCUAAUACCGGAUAGGAGCUCCUGCGGCAUGGUGGGGGUUGGAAAGUUUCGGCGGUUGGGGAUGGACUCGCGGCUUAUCAGCUUGUUGGUGGGGUAGUGGCUUACCAAGGCUUUGACGGGUAGCCGGCCUGAGAGGGUGACCGGCCACAUUGGGACUGAGAUACGGGCCAGACUCCUACGGGAGGCAGCAGUGGGAAAUAUUGCACAAUGGGCGGAAGACUGAUGCAGCAACGCCGCGUGCGGGAUGACGGACUUCGGGUUGUAAACCGCUUUCGCCUGUGACGAAGCGUGAGUGACGGUAAUGGGUAAAGAAGCACCGGCUAACUACGUG